Molecule: transfer RNA, 71 nt
Filed under: Loxodonta africana (African savanna elephant)
Lineage: Eukaryota; Metazoa; Chordata; Mammalia; Proboscidea; Elephantidae
Rfam family: tRNA
About the family: Transfer RNA (tRNA) molecules are approximately 80 nucleotides in length. Their secondary structure includes four short double-helical elements and three loops (D, anti-codon, and T loops).
Source: Rfam by way of RNAcentral
GCACUGGUGGUUCAGUAGAAGAAUUUUUGCCUUCCAUGGAGGAGACUUGAGUUGGAUUCUCAGCCAAUGUA